UUCCACCAUGUGGCUGCACUGGAGUUCUGAGCAUACUCUGGGGACAAAGAAGGAUUGACUCUGGGAGAACACAGGAGCGUCAAAUACACAAAAUGUUCUGUUUCCUAAUGAGCUUGCUACAUGGCAUUUACCAUUUGUCCCCAGAGGAUGUUUGCCACAGUGGACUCUACUGCUUUCUAAACAGUGAAAGAUACCAUCAACAUUGCUGCUGAAGAAUUGGAUUCCUUGAAAAAGAUACAUUGAAGCCCUAACGCCUAGCACAUGUGAAUGUGACUUUAUUUGGAAACAGGGUCUUUGCAGAUGUAAUCAAGUUGAGGUCAUACUGGACUAGAGGCCCCUGAUCCAAUGUGUGUUGUUAUUAUAAGAAGAGGAAGCAGAGACAGACACAGAGACACACACAGCAGAAAGCCAUGUGGAAAUGGAGGCAGAGCCUGGAGUGCUUUAUUCACAAGCUAAGGAACUGCCAAGAAUUGCUGGCGAACACUAGAAGCUGGAAGAGAAACAUAGAUUCUCUCUCUGAGUCCCCAAGAAAUAAUUAAUCCUGAUGAAACCUUAAGUGUAGUCUUUGCUCUCAAAAACUGUGGGAGAAUACAUGUCUGUUAUUUUAAGCUGACAAAUUUGUGUCAAUUUGUCCUGGUAGUCCGAGGGAACUAAGGAUUCCUUUAUGGGAGGUUCCCAACAUUUCCCUUUUGCAAUACUGCCUCUCACCCACCUAAAGCUGCAAGAACAGGGCAGCACCAUCACAUGAUUAUGUCAAAUUGGAUUUUCUGGAGCCCUCAGUCUAUGGAAGCCAUUCCACACUUCAUCAG
Long non-coding RNA from Symphalangus syndactylus (siamang), 809 nucleotides. RefSeq lists it as uncharacterized. NCBI's taxonomy places the organism in Eukaryota, Metazoa, Chordata, Mammalia, Primates, Hylobatidae. The record is from RefSeq and is a predicted model, not a curated record.